GUUUUUCAAUAACACAAAAGAUUGUUUUAUUGGUUGUGCACUUAUCGUUUUUAUCGAGGAACCAAGAUUCAUUUAUGUCUUUUACAAAAAGUGCAUACGAAAGGAGACGCAGUAGACGUGUUCAAAAGAAAUAUUAAAAAAUAUUAGAACUUUUAUCAGUACAUAUAGAAAAAAAAUCGACUGUUGAAACUUUUAAAAGAAAUGAGUUCUUAUCUUGCGAAAAUCUAAAAGAAUAUUUUGACCAUCAUGAAUCAUCAAUUUUGUACAAUGAAUACUCUUGUGACCAAAAGCCUAAUGAGUAUAUGCAUAACCCAACUUUGAAGGAAAGUUUUUCUGCAUGUUUUUUUAACCAAGUAAUGUUGCACUAAAGAAGUGGAUUGACAAAAAAUAGCAACAAAUUUAUUGUCCCAAAAAAAACUAUAAUCAUGCACUGAAAAACAACCUUUCAUCAACAAAAGAAUGGCACAAGUUUCCAUUGAUAAAGUGUAAGAUUACAGAUGGUCAGUAUAUAACUUGUUUUGUGUUUUUUUUAAAGGUAACUUAAUUAAUUUUUUAUAGAAAAGUAUUUUAUAAUUAGAUUUAUUUUCAUGUUUUGAAGAAUACAACUUUUUACAUCAGAUGAGAUAUAUGUUAAAGAAAGCAUUAAAAAUAAGAAUAACAAAUCAUACCGCUCUUCAUUGCCAGAACCUCCGCCACCUAUUAUGAAUAAGCCCAAUGCUAAAAGUAUAAAACAAAUAUCAUAAUUUUUUCUUAAUGGUUUAUAAACUGAAAUAGAUUCUUGUUUAAUUUGAUAUGAAUAAUAUUUAUCUAGUUAUUAGUCUUUUUUAUGUAUUACUAAGAUUUCCUUUUAUUUUAACUAUUUGAAUCUCCUAUUAUAUGUAAUGUUGUUAAAUUGGUUACAUACAUUUAUAUCAUUGACAACAUACUAUUGUAUUAAAUAAUCCUUUAAUCGACUUGAUAUGAAAAUUGAAAUUUGAUUGAAAGCAUGCUGAAAUUGUUUGAAUUCAGAAAUUGAAAGACUACAAAAUUGGUUAAAAGAUUAAAUUAAGUAACAGGUAUGGUUGAGGGAUUAUUUAUAGUUCUAAUUAUAAUUGUUUCUUUUGAAUAGAAUUGUUAUCAGAUUCAGAGAUUCAAGAAGAUGCUUUUUCUUCACAUUUUAUUGAUGAACACAAUAAAACCAAGCAAAGUUCACAUUGUCAAAGAGUUUCAAGUUUUAAUAGAUGCAAAAUGUUAUUCUCAAGGAGCUUGCAAAAAUAAAAGUUCUUUUAAAAGAAGUUAUAUAAAUUAAGUUUUAGGCUACUGGGGUAAAGUUGCUAGAAUCAGUGGACGAAAUGGUUACACUGGAUAAUAAACUAAAAGAUAAAACCGAGUAUACUAAUUUGCUUGAUAGUUUGAAAAAGAUUGGUUACGGAAAGCCAAAAGAACAUGUUUUUUUGAUCAUGAAAAGGACAUUUUCGAGUAAGAUACAGUCCAAAUUAAAUCGAAAAGGAAAUGGGGAAAAGUUAAACUUAGAAAAUCUAGUAAAUAUAUGGAGUGUUUUACGAGCUUUGAUUUUUUAAAAAGAGUUAUUAAUCUAAUCUUGCAACAGUAAAUCUUGAUAAUUUUACAAAAGAUAAACAACUUCACAAAGUCAAAUUCUUUCUCCUAUGACUAAUUUUAAUAGUUCUUACGUAGCAGAAUUUACAAAAUGUUCUGAAUGUUGAUUGUAUUCAAAACGCUAAAACGAAGCUUGGUAAUCUUCAUACCAUUUACUAAAAAUUAAAUAAUGAAAUAUAUAUUAAUGAAAGAA
Molecule: non-coding RNA, 1789 nt
Organism: Hydra vulgaris (swiftwater hydra)
Lineage: Eukaryota; Metazoa; Cnidaria; Hydrozoa; Anthoathecata; Hydridae
Source: RefSeq, a predicted model, not a curated record